AGAGUUUGAUCAUGGCUCAGGACGAACGCUGGCGGCGUGCUUAAAACAUGCAAGUCGAACGAGACCUUUGGUCUAGUGGCGAACGGCGGAGUAAUACAUAAGCAACCUGCCUCAAAGACCGGGAUAGCCCCUCGAAAGAGGGAUUAAUACCGGAUGUGGCCUUUUGUGGGCAUCCACGAAAGAUUAAAACGAGUAAUCGGCUUUGAGAGGGGCUUGUGGCUUAUCAGCUUGUUGGUGGGGUAAUGGCCUACCAAGGCUUCGACGAGUAGCGGGUCUGAGAGGAUGAUCCGCCCGACUGGGACUGAGACACGGCCCAGACUCCUACGGGAGGCAGCAGUUGGGAAUCUUGCACAAUGGGCGAAAGCCUGAUGCAGCGACGCCGCGUGGAGGACGAAGUCUUUCGGGAUGUAAACUCCUUUUGCCAGGAACGAUAAUGACGGUACCUGGUGAAUAAGCCCCGGCUAACUACGUGCCAGCAGCCGCGGUAAGACGUAGGGGGCGAGCGUUGUCCGGAUUUACUGGGCGUAAAGAGCGCGUAGGCGGCCUAUUAAGUCAGGUGUGAAAUCUCCAGGGCUCAACCCGGAAACUGCACUUGAUACUGGUAGGCUGGAGUGUCGGAGAGGUGAUUGGAAUUCCUGGUGUAGCGGUGACAUGCAUUGAUAUCAGGAGGAACACCCAUGGCGAAGGCAGAUCACUGGCCGACAACUGACGCUGAGGCGCGAAAGCGUGGGUAGCAAACAGAAUUAGAUACUCUGGUAGUCCACGCCCUAAACGAUGGAUACUAGACGUCAGGGGUAUCGACCCCCCUGGUGUCGCAGCUAACGCAUUAAGUAUCCCGCCUGGGGACUACGGCCGCAAGGUUGAAACUUAAAUGAAUUGACGG
RNAcentral lists this ribosomal RNA (883 nucleotides) under uncultured bacterium. RNAcentral describes it as "bacterial SSU rRNA". It matches the Rfam family "Bacterial small subunit ribosomal RNA", at positions 8 to 916 of the family's 1533-position model. The record is from RNAcentral.